AAGUCGUAACAAGCCUUCCGUGGGUGAACCUGCGGAAGGAUCAUUAACACGUAUCCCACGUUAAAACCCCGGUGAACCUCCAGCCCUAUUCUGGUGCGCCCGUUCGGACAGCAAUCCCUAGUAAAUCAUUGUUGAACAGAGUUUGAUUUAGGGACCUCUGUAGGGAAGGACUGCGGUGUGCGUGCAAUUGAGUGGUAGCGCAAUCAUCCUGGUGCCUUUUAGACUGUUAUCAUGUGGAAGUGACCAUAACGUUACCGUGUGUCAGCGACGGUAACCUGUCAACGAGGUGACUCCGAAACACGUUUGCUAGAGGUCCACACGACCGGCCACCCCUCGCAAGAAUUUAGCGUGCACCUAACGGUCGUACCACCCACAAACUGAACAACUGUUAACAAUGGAUAUCUUGGUUCUC
Molecule: unclassified non-coding RNA, 412 nt
Filed under: fungal sp.
Lineage: Eukaryota; Fungi
Description: partial internal transcribed spacer region
Source: RNAcentral